Dipodomys ordii (Ord's kangaroo rat) is the source of this 70-nucleotide non-coding RNA. The record is from Rfam. Lineage: Eukaryota; Metazoa; Chordata; Mammalia; Rodentia; Heteromyidae.
GGGAAUGUGGCUUAGUGGUAGAGUGCUUGCCUAGGAAGCAUGAAGCCCUGGAUUCGAUUCCUCAAUACCA